GGGAGGGAGAACAGAUACUACUAAAUCCCCAUUUUACAGAGGAGGAAACUGAGGCACAGAGAAGUAAGGUGACUUGCCCUUGGUCACACAACAGCGGCAGAACUGAGAUUAGAAUCCAGACCUUCUGACUCCCAGACCCUUCUCUUUCCACUCGGACAAGCUGCUUCUUGGCAUGAAAGAAGAUCUCUGGAGAGAUGCCCUUUCAACCUUCUGUCUUUGCGAAAGGCCUAUUGAAUAAGGGCCGUGGAUGUGUCUAGCUGCCAGGCUAGGCUGAAGCAGAUUGAUCCCUCAGUUAUAUCAAGAAGAUGU
Molecule: long non-coding RNA, 309 nt
Filed under: Ornithorhynchus anatinus (platypus)
Lineage: Eukaryota; Metazoa; Chordata; Mammalia; Monotremata; Ornithorhynchidae
Description: lncRNA (ENSOANG00000048411.1)
Source: RNAcentral